RNAcentral lists this ribosomal RNA (490 nucleotides) under uncultured bacterium. RNAcentral describes it as "bacterial SSU rRNA". It matches the Rfam family "Bacterial small subunit ribosomal RNA", at positions 355 to 861 of the family's 1533-position model. The record is from RNAcentral.
UGGGGAAUAUUGCACAAUGGGCGCAAGCCUGAUGCAGCAACGCCGCGUGCGGGAAGAAGGCCCUAGGGUUGUAAACCGCUUUCAGCAGGGAAGAAAAUGACGGUACCUGCAGAAGAAGGUGCGGCCAACUACGUGCCAGCAGCCGCGGUGACACGUAGGCACCAAGCGUUGUCCGGAUUUAUUGGGCGUAAAGAGCUCGUAGGCGGUUCGGUAAGUCGGGUGUGAAAACUCUGGGCUCAACCCAGAGAGGCCACUCGAUACUGCUGUGACUAGAGUGCGGUAGGGGAGCGGGGAAUUCCUGGUGUAGCGGUGAAAUGCGCAGAUAUCAGGAGGAACACCAGUGGCGAAGGCGCCGCUCUGGGCCGUAACUGACGCUGAGGAGCGAAAGCAUGGGUAGCAAAGCAGGAUUAGAUACCCUGGUAGUCCACACCGUAAACGAUGAAUGCCAGUCGUCGGAUAGCAUGCUAUUCGGUGACACACCUAACGGAUU